Molecule: transfer RNA, 69 nt
Filed under: Uraeotyphlus cf. oxyurus MW-212
Lineage: Eukaryota; Metazoa; Chordata; Amphibia; Gymnophiona; Ichthyophiidae
Description: tRNA-Asp
Source: RNAcentral
AAGAUGUUAGUAAAGUAUUUACAUUAUCUUGUCAAGGUAAAAUCAUGAGUUAAACCCACGUACAUCUUU